UGUCUCAUGCACCCCCUCCCAUCACCCUCCCUCCUCCAUCCAUCCCUAACGCCUCCCUCCCUCCGUGCUUUCCUUCUUCACCCCCCAGCUCCGUCUAUCAUGUGCUUGGGAUAUGAUCAGACUUUGCUCAGAGCGGCUGCAGCAUGCGCCAAAUGCAGGCUAUUCUACAAGGUGCCUGCCCCCCUCCCUCAUCUAUUUUAAUAAUACGCGGGCUGGCUGUCUAGGAUAUUUGAGGGGAAUUGUAUGACGACGUGUUCGGAGCCAACAUGGGGCGACUUCUUUUUAUUCACCUUUAUAUACGGAAUGAUGGACAACUGGAUCUGUGGGGCACUCCAAAAAGCAGAAGAUGGACAAUAACAUGAUGUUUGGGAUUUUCUUUUUACUGGAUUUGCCUGAGGCUUAAUGAAGACUUCAGAGAGAGUGACCUGGAAACAAAUGCCCUAACCUAUUGAUGGCAGUCUUAAGGCUAAAACGUCAAGGAUAUUCAGCAGAUUGAAAAGGGAUGUCCCUGCUGCUCAACACCUAGGAGAGUGGAUCCUUCCAAGACCUGCCAAAUCAUUUUGUUUUCACAUCAGCUUGUUAUAGUGAUUGAACAACAUAUUGCAAGCCUGUAGCUGAUGAGAAUCUGUUUUUAUUUCCCUUGUAAAUGCAUCUGGUUGUGCCUUUUGACAGGUAAAUAAAAUAUUUUAAGACUAGAGAUGUUUGGUGUGAGUUAUUUUCUUGUUUGGUUGCUGGUAAAGAACAAUGAGCUUGACAUAAUUGGGUCCUGUUUGCUGAUGACAGGAGCAUGCCUGCUGAUAAAAGCUGGCAGCUUGAUCAAAGCAUCCGCAUCAAAAUGAUGCUCCCGACACAGUUUGAGUUGUAUCCUGAAAAAAGAAGGAAAUCCUGCUUGUGCACAAUAAAUCCCUUGCCUUGUAAAUCAAAUGUACCUGUAUGUGCAAUAUGAGCAACACCAUCUGAAUCUUUUCCUCUGGUGUUGCCAAUCAGAUGCAUAUAUAUUUCAUUGCGUUUGCUUCAUGUUUUUGGGCGGGGGAAAAGAAAAAUAUGACACAAUUCAAUCUAAGACCAUCAAAAGUAGGUUUGAGAAAUUGUUUCUUGUGAGAAAGAUGUAUAAUUUCUCCUGAUCUUCUCUCCAUUCAUCUUCAUGUGCCUCUUCAUUUCCUUUCUCCUUUUCCCAGCCAUAUUACUCUCCCUGUAGCUCUCUACUUAACAUUCAUUCUCACUAUUCUUCUCCUUCUUAGCACCGUCUUCAUUUCCUUUAGCGACAUUACUCCACCCUUCUUUUUCAACAACUGUUGCCCCCCCACACCUUUCUCUCCCUCGCUUGUCUUCCUCUCACAUGUCACAUCAGACGCUCUUGUCUUCCGCUUGCCCUGUCAUCACAUUUUUCACACAGCACCAUCCCUUAAUUGGGCCUGUAUCAUCAUAUUGUGUGGAAUAUGGGAUGAAAGAUGGCCUCCACCUAUAGCCCUCCUCUGCGCACGCACGCACACACACACACACACACACAUACACAGGUAUGUAGCCAUGAUCACACAAACAAGCAUAUCGGUGGCCAAGCUGAUUCCGCUGCCGAAAGCUGUACGCAUUUUUUACACCACAUGUUUGCAGCAAGUUGUCAGUGGCAUGACAGGUGAGAUGGUGUGGUGUUCCCACAGUGUCCAAUGAUGUUUGGCGGCUUUUGUGAUGAGACAAAGGAUGCCCUCGAGCCAGCAGUCACAUUUGCAGGUAACAGGAAAAAGAAGCGGAAUAAUCCACAGAAGGUGUCCCAAGGGUGUCCAAAUAUGUCAGACAAGCAUCAAUGUUGUAUCUACAACAAUCUGAUGGGAAGGAUAAUGGGUAAAAAUCUAUUAGAUAUUAGUGUUAUUAAGUAUAACACUAUGCAUACAAGGGGUGACGACAAAACGUGACGAGGUUUCUCGUUUGGAGA
Dunckerocampus dactyliophorus (ringed pipefish) is the source of this 1930-nucleotide long non-coding RNA. RefSeq lists it as uncharacterized. The transcript has 4 exons. NCBI's taxonomy places the organism in Eukaryota, Metazoa, Chordata, Actinopteri, Syngnathiformes, Syngnathidae. The record is from RefSeq and is a predicted model, not a curated record.